This 563-nucleotide long non-coding RNA is filed under the name Oryctolagus cuniculus (rabbit). RNAcentral describes it as "lncRNA (ENSOCUG00000030315.1)". The record is from RNAcentral. Lineage: Eukaryota; Metazoa; Chordata; Mammalia; Lagomorpha; Leporidae.
CUUCUGCUGCUGAUGUGUGUUUCUGGAGAUUUGCAACACUGGCCGAACCCUGCCUCACGAAAACAUGCUCUAUUGGAAGGACUUCAGAGAAAGCUUUUUCCCUUUAUGCGCAAUUACAAGGCAUAAUUACAAGAGGAAGUUACAACAAGAGACUAAUGCAUUACUCAUGUAAAAUUUGUGGUUAUUCUUGCUUAUUCACUCCAGAAAUUGGAAACUCCUCCUCUUUUUCCCGAGAAAGGACUUUCAUUUUGCUCUCUGUUAUUGAAGGCAAAGCUCACUCUGGUCUACACUUCAUAUUUGAUCGUUUUUCACCAUUCAGAAGCCUAAAGCUGAAGUUUUAUGCAUCUUCAUGCUUGGGUGCAGCAACCUUGAAGGUCAUGUUUCUUAAAGUUUACCCUUCAAACAGGAAAAGUGUGACUCUACCCAAAAAGGACUUUUUGUGGCCUAUAAAUAUAUCUUUAUUUUGUUAAGCUACUGAGAUACCAGGGUUUAUUUAUUGCUGCAGUAUAUCCUAGCCUGUAUUGAUUUAACUACUUGACUAAUAAAGUCACAGAGAUAACUCA